This 304-nucleotide ribosomal RNA is filed under the name uncultured bacterium. RNAcentral's name for it is "bacterial SSU rRNA". It matches the Rfam family "Bacterial small subunit ribosomal RNA", at positions 30 to 334 of the family's 1533-position model. The record is from RNAcentral.
AUUGAACGCUGGCGGCAGGCCUAACACAUGCAAGUCGAGCGGCAGCGGGUCCUUCGGGAUGCCGGCGAGCGGCGGACGGGUGAGUAAUGCCUAGGAAUCUGCCUGGUAGUGGGGGAUAACUCGGGGAAACUCGAGCUAAUACCGCAUACGUCCUACGGGAGAAAGCGGGGGAUCUUCGGACCUCGCGCUACCAGAUGAGCCUAGGUCGGAUUAGCUAGUUGGUGAGGUAAAGGCUCACCAAGGCGACGAUCCGUAGCUGGUCUGAGAGGAUGAUCAGCCACACUGGAACUGAGACACGGUCCAG